RNAcentral lists this ribosomal RNA (484 nucleotides) under uncultured bacterium. RNAcentral describes it as "partial 16S ribosomal RNA". It matches the Rfam family "Bacterial small subunit ribosomal RNA", at positions 29 to 507 of the family's 1533-position model. The record is from RNAcentral.
AUUGAACGCUGGCGGCAUGCUUUACACAUGCAAGUCGAACGGCAGCGCGGGCUUCGGCCUGGCGGCGAGUGGCGAACGGGUGAGUAAUGCAUCGGAACGUGCCCAGUAGUGGGGGAUAGCCCGGCGAAAGCCGGAUUAAUACCGCAUACGACCUGAGGGUGAAAGCGGGGGACCGAAAGGCCUCGCGCUAUUGGAGCGGCCGAUGUCGGAUUAGCUAGUUGGUGGGGUAAAGGCUUACCAAGGCGACGAUCCGUAGCUGGUCUGAGAGGACGACCAGCCACACUGGGACUGAGACACGGCCCAGACUCCUACGGGAGGCAGCAGUGGGGAAUUUUGGACAAAGGGGGCAACCCUGAUCCAGCCAUGCCGCGUGCGGGAAGAAGGCCUUCGGGUUGUAAACCGCUUUUGUUCGGGAAGAAAUCCUCUGGGCUAAUACCCCGGGGGGAUGACGUUACCGGAAGAAUAAGCACCGGCUAACUACGUG